Cordylochernes scorpioides is the source of this 82-nucleotide non-coding RNA. Lineage: Eukaryota; Metazoa; Arthropoda; Arachnida; Pseudoscorpiones; Chernetidae. The record is from the annotation of a GenBank genome assembly.
GCCUAGUGCCAUAUAUAGCCUAGUGGACAUGGCAUCUGCCCGGUAAGCGGAACACUGUGGGUUCGAUUCCCAUUCCUGGACA